Hydra vulgaris (swiftwater hydra) is the source of this 2711-nucleotide non-coding RNA. The record is from RefSeq and is a predicted model, not a curated record. NCBI's taxonomy places the organism in Eukaryota, Metazoa, Cnidaria, Hydrozoa, Anthoathecata, Hydridae.
UAAAAAAAUAAAAAUCUUAAAAAAAAACCCUACCCAGUCAUGGGCUGCUAUUGUUAAAUUUUUGUAGCAACCAUUUAAAUAUGAAAGAAAAAAAAAUAGUUCUAAUACAAAUUUUUACCUGAACAUUGCAAGUGAUUUAAAUAUUGCCUCAGACACAAUUCAGAGAAUAAAGUAUGAUUCAUGUAAAAUAAAAAAAGAUGUUAUAUGUAGUUUACAAGAAAAAAAAUGGAAAAUUGCAGCAGAGAGUUCGUUUUUUGAAAUAAUCAAUGACCCGCAACAAUCUUACAAACAAAAAAUUUAAAAGACAGUAUUUUUCACUAAAUUUGUGGAAAUUGAAAUAUUCAGAAGAAAAAAAAAAAAAAGCAAUUCAGCAGAAUAAGUUUCAUUCUUUAGAUUUCAUAAAUGAAUUGAGAACUCCUAAAAUCAGUAGAACAAAGUUGCAACAAAAUGUUAAAAAGAUAGAAAGGAAGCACAAAAUUGCUAUCAAAGAAUUACAGGAACAUAUAAAAUCAAAGAGCAAGAAAACAAACAACUUGUAGAAUAAAAUCAUUAUUUAACUAGUAUUAUUUUAGAAAAAAAAAGAGAUAAUAGGCUACUCAUAGAAACCAAAAAAUUAAGAACAUAUGACCUACCCAUAAGAAAAUGUGUUUAUGCUGCUAUUAUUAACAAUGUGCCUGUGGAAAGUGUCUCAUUUUUGUUAGAAAAAUUUCUGAAACAUUGCACAACCCAGAACUACAAGAAACACCCCACUCAUCCACAGUAAAUAGAAUGGCAUAUGAACCAGGUGUUUUAGCAUUGGUUCAAGCUGGUGAGGCACUUUUUCAUUGUGAAUGCGCAACAGUAGUGUUUGAUGCAACCACCGUUUUAGACAAACAUGUGAAUGAGUUUCUUAUCAGUACCUAUCCUCCGCAGAGAUGUUAUUCCUUUUUAACCGUUAAACUUGUUGGAGGUUCAGGAUUUGACUGUGCCACUCAUAUUGUCAGUGUAAUAAAAUAUAUUCACUUAAAAAAUCAAAAGUUGUCUGUCAGACAGAGUACCUGUUAAUAGUUGUGUGAAAAAUAUGCUUUAGGAGGAGAUGGAAAUUCAAUUAAUACAACUGUACUGCAACGUUCAUCCAUUGGAAACAAUUGCCUUAAAAGCAUUAUUAGCUCUUAAAACAAUAGAUAAUGAGUUGAAGAUAAAACCGGCUAAAGGAACUGAUGGGGUUGCAGUAACAGUCGUCAAAAAUAUUUCUAAGCUAAGAUGCCACGAAAUUAUAAUAAAAAAACUGAAAUAAAAUAUAGGCUAGAGGAUUUAAAAAAGACCAUAAAAGACGUGAGAAAUAUAACUUUUUCAUUAAGUCAAGCCUUUUCAGCUUAUUCGAUGCCUAAAACCACCUUAUAUGACUACUGCAAGAAAGAAUUCAUAACACAACCAAGAGGCGGAAGAAAAUGUAUAUUCUCAGAUACACAAGAAAAAGAGUUAAAUGAAUAUAUUGCUUUCAAAUUUGCUGAACAAAAUAAGCUGAACCAUAAAUUUAAUAGGACAACCCAAUUGGCAGGGAAAGACUGGUAUUAUUUUUUAUAAAAAAACAUUCAAAUACUUCAUUGAGAAAACCUGAGCCCACUUUGUUAAACAGAAUAAAUGGAUUUAAUGCAACAGAAGUAAAAAUGUUUUUUGAAAAUCUGGAAACUUUACAAAGAACUUAUCACUUUGACCCUAAUCAUAUAUAUAAUGUUGAUGAGACCAGUAUUCCUAAUGUUCAAUGAAAUUCCAAAAUCUUAGCCUCUAAGGGCCAGAAACAAGUGGGUAUGGAAACCAGUGGGGAAAGGGGUUCAACAACUACAGUUGUUUGUGCAUUCAGUGCUUCAGGAAAGUAUAUUUCUCUAUUUUUUAUAUUUAAUAAUCAGUUGUUGCGGGGACGAAAUGCUGAUAUGCUUGCCUUCCCGCAACCUGAGUCAGUGACUCAGGUUGGAUCAAUGAAAAUUUAUUUUUGGACUGGCUUAAUCACUUUAUCUCAAUUGCUAAACCAACCAAAGACGAACCUGUGUUAUUAGUCCUAGAUAACCAUGAGAGCCAUAUUAGCCUUGAUUGCUAUCUACUCUGUCGUGGAUAUGGAAUUGUAUUGUUAUCCCUUCCACCACACACUUCCCAUAGAAUACAACCAUUAGAUUUAACAUACUUUGGUCCAUUUAAGUCUGCAUACAACAGGGAAUGUGACAUUUUUAUGGCAGCAAACAUGGGCCGAAGAAUUACUCAAUAUGAAGUUGUUGAACUAUUUACAAAAGCUUUUAAUCGUCUCAGCAAUAUUGAAAAAGCAGCCAAUGGGUUCCGAGCAGCUGGUAUUUAUCCGUUAGAUCCCACAAAGCUCAAUGAUUUAUUUCCAAUCACUAUCAUUACACCUGAAACGUCAUUACUUGAUAACAUUCAGAGUUCAAAAUUCCAGGUAAACACAAUGAAUCAAUAAGAUACUCAAGUUAAAUCAUCUGAAGUCUUAGUUAAUCUGUCAUUGAAUCCUUCUAGUGUAGGUCUGUCACCUGAUGUGAAUGUAGCCCCUGAACUGGUCUCAAUUAGAUCAAAUCAGCCAAUAUCUCUUUUAAAUAUUGUUUCAGUACCUAAUUUGCCAAAAAGGAAAACCAGAGAAAGUCUAAGAAAGAAACAUUCGACUAUUAUAUCACUAGUUCUCCAAUGAAAGAUUUUUUAAAGGACAAGCAGCAAAAGAAAAGUAUAAA